Molecule: ribosomal RNA, 400 nt
Filed under: uncultured Methylobacterium sp.
Lineage: Bacteria; Pseudomonadati; Pseudomonadota; Alphaproteobacteria; Hyphomicrobiales; Methylobacteriaceae
Description: bacterial SSU rRNA
Rfam family: Bacterial small subunit ribosomal RNA
Source: RNAcentral
GUGGGGAAUAUUGGACAAUGGGCGCAAGCCUGAUCCAGCCAUGCCGCGUGAGUGAUGAAGGCCUUAGGGUUGUAAAGCUCUUUUGUCCGGGACGAUAAUGACGGUACCGGAAGAAUAAGCCCCGGCUAACUUCGUGCCAGCAGCCGCGGUAAUACGAAGGGGGCUAGCGUUGCUCGGAAUCACUGGGCGUAAAGGGCGCGUAGGCGGCCGAUUAAGUCGGGGGUGAAAGCCUGUGGCUCAACCACAGAAUUGCCUUCGAUACUGGUUGGCUUGAGACCGGAAGAGGACAGCGGAACUGCGAGUGUAGAGGUGAAAUUCGUAGAUAUUCGCAAGAACACCAGUGGCGAAGGCGGCUGUCUGGUCCGGUUCUGACGCUGAGGCGCGAAAGCGUGGGGAGCAA